GCCUGCCUAGCUCAAUCGGAUAGAGCGUGAGACUUUUACGGCAAAGGCUAUUAAUCUCAAGGCUGCGAGUUCGAGCCUCGCGGUGGGCU
This is a non-coding RNA of Fomitopsis betulina (razor strop fungus), 89 nucleotides long. The record is from the annotation of a GenBank genome assembly. Lineage: Eukaryota; Fungi; Basidiomycota; Agaricomycetes; Polyporales; Fomitopsidaceae.